RNAcentral lists this long non-coding RNA (476 nucleotides) under Elaeis guineensis (African oil palm). RNAcentral's name for it is "long non-coding RNA (EGUI_LNC082578)". The record is from RNAcentral. Lineage: Eukaryota; Viridiplantae; Streptophyta; Magnoliopsida; Arecales; Arecaceae.
AUGUCAUUCGCAUAAAAUGUGGGUGAUGGAUUUAUGGGUUAGCUUAAUCAGGUCCUCCUAAUUGGGUUAGAUGCUAGGAUUAGAAUCAAAGAUUAAAUGAACUAAGAAAAAAAUUAAAUUAAAUCGAGAUUUCUCUAGAGCCAAUACAAUAGUUGUAGUUGAUCGAGUCCAUAUCUUUGAUUAGACCCAAAUAGACUUUGAUCUUGAGCUUAGUGGUCGAAUCCAAAUCUGUAAGUACAUCUAAUUGAAACUGAUUAACCAAUUAAUGUCUAAGAUAAGUUUGACAGUCUUGAUCGAUAGUUAUUAAUUAGGAGCUACUUGUAUAGAUUGAGUCUAUAACGAGUUAAUGGCAUAUCCCUCCCAUCGAUCUCACUUACCUGACCAACACAGUGAAUCAAGUUUUGAUCAGAUCACUUAAUGAUUAGAAUUGACCCAUGCUUACUAGAAAAAUCAGUUUGACUGAUUUAGAUAUCCCU